Molecule: long non-coding RNA, 8882 nt
Organism: Oreochromis aureus
Lineage: Eukaryota; Metazoa; Chordata; Actinopteri; Cichliformes; Cichlidae
Source: Ensembl
UUUGUAGCUGCUGUACAGAGCAAAGUACAGCACAACAUAGUAGGUUUUGUAAUAGCGUGCCUCUAAAUGCCAGGUAUUUCAGAUGUCAGGGAAAACAGCAGUUGACAGCUAUCCGCCAUGCCUGCAACACACCGGGCUUUUGCUCUCAUCUCUCUGCUGUCCUUCAGCGCAGCAGCACCAACAGUAGACGACUGCAAUCAGCUGACCCAGCCUCUGCAAGCUAACGAGCUUCACCAGGUACAGGUCUCUUCACCUCUAACCUCAGCUGUCUUUCUCCCUGACAAUAUGACAAAUAGGCCCAGAGUUGUUUUGUCAGUUACAGAGUUAUUCUAACUUUGGCUCUUCACACCUUCCCAAUGGAUUUAGGUUGAAGAAAAAUAUCAAUUACAGCCUGUUUUAAGAAAUACCUUCUUUUCAUGGGCUCAAAUGUGGUGGGAUGAUUGAUUCAAACCAUGUUUUGUGAACACUGGCAUUUGAAUAUGGAAGCUUUGGCUCUAAACAAAAUAAUGUAGUCAAAGGAACGGUCGCAAAAAACUGAGCUAUCAGACUGUGUGGGAUGUUUCAGGAAGUGGACCCAAACCCAGAUGUUGGGCACAGACUAACAAUCAGCAGUUAUAGUGACAAGAUAUUGCUGCAGACAAUGAUGCCUCUGCACACGGUACAUGUGUCAGUGCGAUAACACGAUUGGUCCCCAUGUGCCCAGAUGUGGCUAAUGAUUCGAAGUUUAACCAGAUUAACCUAAUUUGACAGGCAGCAUUUUAUUCAUGAUGAUAUUGUAGUGUUGUAUACAUUUGAGACCCAAAAAGUGAGACAAUGUAGAAAAGUGGCUGUUAUUUCACAACAGCUAAUGCAAUAUCUUUUCCUCUUUUUAAUUAUUUAAUUUCAUUAAAAGCAGCUUUUGUUUGCAGUUUCAUAAGAAAACAGUUGCAGUGACAUACAGAGGUAAAAUACCAAAAAUUGUAUCCAUAUUCAAACCUUUCUGAACCUAACUGUAAGUUCUUUCACCCUGAACAGAUCCUGGGUAGGUGGAUCUUUAUUCAGGGGCUUGCCAGUAACGGUAGCUUGGGAGACAGUUUGAGGUUUGUGGAAAGUACGUGGAUGGUGCUGAAUACAACAUCAGACAGUCGGACCCUGCAGGCAGAGAUAGCUGGCCGAGUGGUUCAACAGCUGGACGAGUCUGUUCAGCCACAAGUUCCAAAGAUGGAGGACGCCUCCAUCCCGACCAAUUCCCAGGGACCUGAGCUUUCUUCAAACCCUAGCUCCCACCCUGUCAGCAGUUCCACACCCCAUCUGGUCAUGAAUGUGGGAUCUCAGGCCAAAGUCUGCUGCACACAGGCAACCACACUCAAAGGAACUGCAAUGUUGCCUUUGUCGUUCAUCUACAUACGUCUGUUCCUUUGUGAAUCGCUAACAUCUGUUCAGAACUGAAUUCCCAGAGUUUUUCAUCAAUGUCACAUUUCUGGAGGGAUUUUUUUUAGGGUGUUCUGAGGCAGAGUUUUAGUAGACAAAGCUGAAAGGCUUGGACAUGAAUUGAGCUGCGGUUUGGGGAAGGCCUCGAAGGGGACUGGCGACGGCUCCCGGGCCUGGCAGAUCCCCAUGUACUAAAUAGAAGAGAAGAAGUUAAAGAAUUGAAAAGGCAAGGGAGGGCGUGGCACGUAAACGAGAAUGAACAGCUUGUAGAACUGGGGGAACAUAUUUAGAUAAGAACUGGAAGGAGCAUGUUUGGAGGUGUGGUCCCACCCCUGAAAUUCCAAUACUUCCAAUUUGCUAUACUGUUGGUAGAAAGCUGGUUGAUAUUGAAAUGAACUGAUUGCAACUUUAUAUAUAAACUAGUCUACUGUUGUUGCAUUAAGCAAUUUUUGUAUAUUCUUCAAAAAUUUCAUUUAAUCAGAAAGUGAAACUCUUGAGAUUAACAGUAUCUGUAGUAAGAGCAGUGGCAGAAGAAACCAGAACUCCCAGUGAACACCCACACAAGCAAACCCUACACAGAGAGGUCUACUCUGGGGGUAACCCAGGAACAGCAACAGCAAUGGUGGUCAUUACUGAGCCACCAUGCAGCCCUCAUUUGUGUUGAUUAAAAAAUGCCACAGAUUACUCUGUUUAGAACUCAGUCUUCUAAUAUUAAAGUCAAAUCGGGUUUGAAAGUGUCGGUCAAGGAUGCAUUCAGAUGGGAAAAACUUCAUCGGGCCAGGUGUGCAAGUCAGUAUUCCUUUUGGUGUCUCAUUAUCAAUCCAGAUGAAAUUUUAAUGUUGCCAUUUUCCACUUCUUCUGCUUGAUCAUUGUUUUAGGGAGGAUCGCUGCCUCAGGAAUGUUCAGAACAUGUCCCUAGUUGAUGGCAAAGACUUAGAGUUCUACAGUAAGUUGCUUCAGUGAAUAACAUACAGUAUGUACACGUGUAAUCAGAUCAGUUACAUCUGUCACUCAGGUCUGUGGGGUUUGUCACAGUACAAUUUGCAUGCUCAGUUUAUCAGAAUUGUUAUCCUCCCAUCAUGAAUGCUUGUGUUUUGUUGCACAGUGAAAAUUGCCAGUUCCUAUCACAGGUUCCUGCAGACCUGCCCUGACUGUCUGCUCAUGCAUACCUACUAUAAAGUAGCCAGUCACCAAAUGUUCUACUUGUUUGGUAAGUAUGAGCAGUGAUGGAGCAUUUACUAAAAGAACUGACAAGUAAAACAGUAAAAUAUUUACUUGAUGGACUAUUAAUUGUAUAUUUUAACUGUAAUUAACGAGUGAACAGCAUUUCACUGUUGUAGUCAUCUGACAAUUCUUUGACUAUUUUAAAGGGUGGAAGGGUGGACUACUUUGGCAUUCAACUCAUCAUUCCUUUUAGUAUCUCGCUGUCAUACUUGUGAAGAAGUAAGAAAAGAAUAUAAAAAUCCCCAAACCAAUGAGAAAUUAGUUGUAGAGCCCAGUAUGGAUUUUCACAAAUGGAUUUUUCUACAACAAGGUAAUCAUUUUAAUAUUCAUCAAAUAGAAUAUAAUUGUUUUCCAUCUAAAUUGUAGCCAUGUUUGACUACAAAGUAGCUUGAAUUCUGGACUGGACUGGGACAAAAAGUUAUCCCGCGCGUUUUGACUAGAGAACCACAAAGCCAUAAAACCUUUGAAUGAAAACAAACGCUGUUGUGACAGUGAUGUACAGUGUCUUGUUGGUAUAUAUGUAUGAUUUCUAUACAUUUUACAUCAGAUGAUGUAAAAAACAACAAAACAACCAUCACUUUGGUUGCUUUGAGAAUAAUAGAUUGCUGAAUAUACAUUAGAGCUAAAGAGACUGUAUUUUAGGGUGGCUUGCAAAAUUAUAAUAUGGAGCUUGCUAGUGUGUAAGAAUACAAACAGAAAAGGCCUGGAAUGUGAACAAUGAACUGGGAAGAAUUAACCCCCACCCCCAGGAAAGAAGCAAGAGUUACUGCAAGAGUUACUGAGGGUGAGGGGCAGACAAAUAACAAAAGGGCACUACCUUAAAAGGAGUUGGGGGUCAGGGUGUCAGCACCCCUGGCUGCUGUACCAGUGUUUUUCCAUUGUGGGGGUGUUUACUAUAGAGAUUGACAGACCACGUGACUUUCAACCGUUGCUUUGUGGGUACCCGUGGCAACAAAAUCAAAACACUGCAUCAAGCGCUAGUAUUUCCAGCACCGGUAAUCAUUAAUUCUGUGGUUUUAAUCCCUACUUGCAUUUUACUUGCCCCAAAAACAGUUAUGUACAAAACAACAGAGAACACGGCAGGUCCAUACAAAGGCAAAAAAAAAAAGGACGAGGAAAAACUCAAAGGAGUAAAAGGGUGAGACCAGGGGUGGGCAAUCUCAGUCCUCAGGGCCGGUGUCCCUGCAGGUUUUAGAUCUCGCCUUGGGUCAACACACCUGAAUCACAUGAUUAGUUCGUUACCAGGCCUCUGGAGAACUUCAGGACAUGUUGAGGAGCUAAUUUAGCCAUUUAAAUCAGCUGUGUUGGUUCGAGGACACAUCUAAAACCUGCAGGGACACCGGCCCUCGUGGACUGAGAUUGCCCACCCCUGGGUCAGACCCAUACGAGCAUACAGAGUGGAGUAAGGACGUUAGCGUGCUGCCCAACUUUUAUCACGGACAUAUUUAUUAUUAUAUGGUCCUAAGUGUGAGUGCAUACACUCACAAGAUGUUUAUUAACUUCAGAUCCCUGCAACAAGCCCAGGUCCAGUUUACUUUGGUGAUUUGGACGAUUCCAUUUCACAGCUGUUGUUACAUUUUUUUCCUUUAUCUCCUGUACAGGCCAACGCAUCUAUUUGUCGUUUCAGGUUGUAGUAUUACACAACAUUUUCAGAUCUAAAAGAAAUAAAAUGAGUGUUUCGUAAUUCAUUCAAUUUAUUGUCUUUAUUUUUAACUGGCAUUAUUGUUUCAUUCUAUUAUAGAAUCUUACAAGAAAGAGGCAAAAUUGUAUUCCAUUAUGCUUUAUUAGCUGCUUUAGUGAAAAACAAAUCAACAAUGCAAAAAAAAAAACCAUUGCAAAACAACAUACUGGAAAACAGUUAUUCAUCACUUGAUUGCAUCAAUACAACCCUUGGGCACAUAUAUGCAGACUUUUCGUGGCUGUUUUGAUAUCGCUCUCUCUCUUAACCGAUCAAAUCUCGCUGUAGUAGCAGCUUUAAACUCAGUCUGACCCAGGGUGAUAGAGGUGCCCAGUCUGCAUCCCAUUCCAGCAUUUUGUAGGCUGGUUUUCCUACAAAACACAACAAACAUUAGCCCGCAAAGCCACAGUGAACAAAGCAACAUAGCGCAACAAAUUCAAUUCAAAUCAAUAUAAGACUUAUUUGUAACCUACAUCAACAAUUAUGUUAUGAUAAAUUACGUAAUAACUACAACAGAAGACGUACCUUUGUGGAAAUGCUUGGAGCAGACUAACAUGUGAGCUGGAGUGUUCUGGGACGUUAUAUUUGGUCUUCGAAUGGCUGCAAUCCAGGUCAUCCGUCGGCUCUUUGUUACUUCAGAAACAUGGCUUGAACAAUUUCUCUUCCACGAUGUAAUCUGAUAAAAGCCGAUCUCUUUACCCGUCGGCUUCCCAUGGCUGUCAUGCGACUGGCUAUUGCAGUUAAUAAUACAACACCUUCUUGCCAUUUUUUGUGUUUCUUUUUAUCGCUGUGUGACUGUUUUCAUGUGAAAGCCUGCGUGCGCUUGUACCGCUUGCCACUCGUUUCCAGAAUCCUUUGCGGUUUUACCCAUGAAUGACGUCACAUUUUCAAUCUCUAUAGGAGGAGGAUACCAGAGACUAAAACUGUAGCUGUUGUGUUGAAUUCUUGAGAUCAGCCUUUAGAAUAGGACUGCUAACAAAAGGAUUGUGUGAAACUUGGAAACAUCUCUGCGUGAUCUCUACCAAGACAAAAGGAUCAGAGAGAGCGGCGUUGUCUCCCACAGAAUGAGAAUAAGAAAUGUACUUCUUUGUGCCCCCCUUUCCCUGUUAAUGCCCUACCUGCCCCCCUGGCAAAACUUUGCUAGACCCGCCCCUGCACAGUUACCAGCUGUCAGCUACAUAGAAAAAGGAUCCUGGUGUUAUUUGUCUCUCAGAAACAGUUCAUAACUUCCCUUCAACUCAUUCAUGUCACCUAAAAGGUAAACCUGUUUCUCCAUCACCUGUUCAGCUCUGAUGAUUCAGUAAGGACAUCUCCUGAUUUCAUCUGCAUGUUUCCCUCCAGCAAACAUCAGCUGAUACUAGACAGUAAUAUUAAAUCAAUUAAAUAAAUUAUUUAAUAAAUAAAUUAAAUAAACAACUUAUCAAGCUUAAACGUGCUGCUGUUUAUCCGCUGGUUUCCUCUUUCUGGCGCAAAGUGGGCGAUAAACAAACAAGAGAGACGGGACUUGCGACAGAAAAGCCAAUCAGCUGAUCAUUGAUCAGUUUUUGAAGUAGCAGUAAUUGAAGUAGCAGCAGGAGAGGAAGAGGAGAGAGUGAGAGAAGAAGAAGCUGUGCAGCGGAAGACACAGAUUAACUCCAGCUUUGUGUCUUUUUUUCAUUCUAGCUGAAGUACUGGUCCUCUUCACCUCAAUAGCAUUUUCUUCUGUUUGUCUGUGAUAAGACUGCUUUCAGAGCCGUUGCCCAAGCAAGGGGGAGGGUGUAUCCGACCUCCUCGGCUGUAAAUUGUCCAGCCCAGAGUCGAUCAUGACCAACUGGCCAAUCGACCACCUUUCAUUGUUUAUACCGUUACAAAAACCCAUAAAAACUAAAAAUGACCAUACCCCUUUGUGCCCAAUACUCAGUCACAGUACUUCAAAAACACAAUUACAUUCCAUUUCUUUUAAAAGUUUCCUGUGUCAUUUUUUUUUAAUUUAGCAAAAUUCAAUUCACUUUUAUUUAUAUAGCACCAAAUUGCAACAAUAGUUGUCUCAACGCACUUAAAAGAGUGUGAGAAAAGGACAAACAAAAGGGUUUUUUACACCUGGCCGUGCAGACUGCCCUCCAUGUGCUAUACAAACUGAGUACUGGCAAAUACAUUUACCUAACAUGUCUUGCUUCUGUUUGUUGUUAUUUCAUAAAAUUGUUAUACAACACAUCUAUGUUAAUUGUAGCAGGUUUAUAUUGUAACAGAAAUUGUAACAUUUAAGUAACCAGGAGGCUAACUGAAGCUGUCAAAUAAGUGCAACAUAGAGUAAACUCUUUUAAGUAGUGGAGGUAGUGCUUCAAGGAGGCAGCUGCCCGAUCACACAAAACAAACAAAAUACACUUUAGGAGUCAACCAUCCUCGAACACUAGUGUGAACACAAUACAUUCUAAUGGUGCUUUUCCUGCUGUUGUUCUCUGCAGGGAGGAACAAGACCGUGACAGCUUCUGAUUUAGAGACCUUCAGAAAACAAGGUGAAUGCCUCAGGUUUCCCACGACACCAAAGUUUAACUACGACCCUAACAAUGAACUGUGUCCUGUGGAGGAAAAGAAGUCAGAAUCCACACCUCAACAAAACCUCCACUAACAGAGUUCUUAAUAACACUGCCACUGCUAUCGUCAAACUUACGCUGUUGAUUGGUUUUUACUCAUGAUUUAAUUGAGAGAAAUUUGAGAAGUUUGAAUGUCCAAACUGUUAAGUGCUUUUCUAAAAAAUUUUGGUUCAGGUUUUGACCCGCCUACUAGACUCUAUGUGAUUCCUGAUAGCUUAGCCAACAUGAAUGGGACAGGAAAUUUAUGUUUACUUCAGUGUCAUAUCCAUCCAUCCACCCAUCCGAAGCUUAGAUGGUCAGCUUGAUAUCUAAAAAACUGAGUUAAUUAUAAACAAGUGUUUAUCUUGGUAGAUUUUAUGCACAGAUUAAAGUUUUUUUUUAAAAAGGCAUUUAAUGCUAUUUUAACCCAAAUUUACACCAUUAGUCAACUGCAUAAACCACUUUCAUAAGGGAGGAAUGGUUUGCACACUUGAUCAAUGCUCACCCAUUGGCUGGGAGCCAGAGAGGGAUCUGCCUGAGAAAUUGAUCAAGUGAUUGUAUGACUAGCUACAGUUAUAUAGCAGUAACCUGACAAUCAAGCUGAAAGCAUAUGCUGCUUUACUGUCCAUUUAGACUGUAAUGGGUUAUUUUGUUAUACAUCACAAAAUAACCAUGACGUAAACUGUCUUCACUAAUACCUGAAACCAGAAAAUCAAAUAAUAAACUCCAAAUAAAUGAUAAAAUCUGAAAAGUGUUUCUGACAUCAGUGGUCAUGGAAGCCAAAGGCAAGACAACUGGCCGUUUCUUUGGAACGACAGCAGUUGCACCACAUUGGUCAUUACAAAUACUUCAAAUUUAUACAUGAUUUUUUCCUGAUAUUCUAACCAUGUGUUUGGUCAAAAUAUUUUGAGACAAGAAUCUGUCAGAACUUUUGUAAUUAUAUUUCUCUCUUAUUGUGUUUUGUUUCACCAGUGCAUGUGUGAUUUUUUUCCCCCUGUGCAUUUCCAAACCGAUGGUUAAAGUGGCCGGUAUUGUCAACUAACUCUUCUGGCUCUCUUGCUUCUUUCGUGUUUGGCAUUUUUUACCAUUAUUUUUUAAAAAUAUCAAGAGCUAAUAGAAAUCAGAUGAGUAAACAGCAGAGAGCAAUCAGGAUCAUCUGUUUAUCAAGACACUGGAUCAUCCUCCAAAUUAAGGCCGUUACUGGUGCCGACUGCAGCCCCAUCGUAUUCAAAGGCCUCGUCUCUUUGAACGCCACAGAACUGACCGUUUGGACUUUGCAAGAGAGAAAGAAAGUUUUAUUCUCUGAUGAGAAAAAAUGUAACCUUGAUGGUCCUGAUGGUUUCCAAUGUUACUGGCAUGACAAGUAGAUAUUUUCUAUGCUCCACAGUGGAGGGGGCACCAUAAUGGUCUGGGGUGCUUUUUCCUUCAGUGGAACAAUAAAGUUAAAGGAGGUGCAGGGGCGUCAAACAGCUGCUGGCUAUGUCCAGAUGUUGCAGAGAGCAUCCGUUAUGACUGAGGGCCCUCGUCUGCGUGGUAACGACUGGAUGUUUUUUUUAACAGGACAACGCUACACAGUGUUGGGAAGGUUACUUUUAAAAUGUACUCCACUACAGAUCACAGAAUACAUGGCCCAAAAUAUAUUUUAUAACGUAUUCCGUUAGUUACUCAAUGAGAGUAACGUAUUCUAAAUACUUUGGAUUACUUAAUAUAUUGUCAUGCUUUUUACAACUACUUUUUUCUUAAAUAAAUCUACUACAUCAUGUGUAUUUUUUAUGUCAUGUGUAAUUUUCAUUGCAAAGAGUAAUCGCAGUUAAAUUAAGAGGGGAUAGAGCUGUGAUGUCAUCAAGUACACUGCCGUUCCAAUUGUAGAACGAUCGUGCUGCGUUCUCGGGAAGUCUGGACUCCCGUGUGAACUUAGGAAGUCCAGAGGAGUGAGAAUAUCCUGUGGUAUGAGGUCCAGUUAAUAGCAUUCUCCUGUUCUAACUGCUUCAGACAUCUAUCACCCUCUUCCUGUAAGC